UACGGGGGGAGCAAGCGUUGUUCGGAUUUACUGGGCGUAAAGGGCGCGUAGGCGGCGCAACAAGUCACUUGUGAAAUCUCCGGGCUUAACCCGGAGCGGCCAAGUGAUACUGUCGUGCUAGAGUGCGGAAGGGGCUACUGGAAUUCUCGGUGUAGCGGUGAAAUGCGUAGAUAUCGAGAGGAACACCUGCGGCGAAGGCGGGUAGCUGGGCCGACACUGACGCUGAUGCGCGAAAGCUAGGGGAGCAAACGGG
RNAcentral lists this ribosomal RNA (253 nucleotides) under uncultured bacterium. Its description in RNAcentral is "partial 16S ribosomal RNA". It matches the Rfam family "Bacterial small subunit ribosomal RNA", at positions 524 to 776 of the family's 1533-position model. The record is from RNAcentral.